This 669-nucleotide ribosomal RNA is filed under the name uncultured Lachnospiraceae bacterium. Its description in RNAcentral is "bacterial SSU rRNA". It matches the Rfam family "Bacterial small subunit ribosomal RNA", at positions 64 to 745 of the family's 1533-position model. Lineage: Bacteria; Bacillati; Bacillota; Clostridia; Lachnospirales; Lachnospiraceae. The record is from RNAcentral.
GAACGGAGCUUAGAGAGCUUGCUUUUUAAGCUUAGUGGCGAACGGGUGAGUAACGCGUGAGUAACCUGCCCUAGAGUGGGGGACAACAGUUGGAAACGACUGCUAAUACCGCAUAAGCCCACGGUACCGCAUGGUACUGAGGGAAAAGGAUUUAUUCGCUUUAGGAUGGACUCGCGUCCAAUUAGCUAGUUGGUGAGGUAACGGCCCACCAAGGCGACGAUUGGUAGCCGGACUGAGAGGUUGAACGGCCACAUUGGGACUGAGACACGGCCCAGACUCCUACGGGAGGCAGCAGUGGGGGAUAUUGCACAAUGGGGGAAACCCUGAUGCAGCGACGCCGCGUGGAGGAAGAAGGUUUUCGGAUUGUAAACUCCUGUCGUUAGGGACGAUAAUGACGGUACCUAACAAGAAAGCACCGGCUAACUACGUGCCAGCAGCCGCGGUAAAACGUAGGGUGCAAGCGUUGUCCGGAAUUACUGGGUGUAAAGGGAGCGCAGGCGGGAAGACAAGUUGGAAGUGAAAACCAUGGGCUCAACCCAUGAAUUGCUUUCAAAACUGUUUUUCUUGAGUAGUGCAGAGGUAGAUGGAAUUCUCCGGUGUAGCGGUGGAAUGCGUAGAUAUCGGGAGGAACACCAGUGGCGAAGGCGGUCUACUGGGCACCAACUGACG